GACGAACGCUGGCGGCGUGCUUAACACAUGCAAGUCGAACGGAAAGGCCCUGCUUUUGUGGGGUUCUCGAUUGGCGAACGGGUGAGUAACACGUGAGUAACCUGCCCUUGUCUUUGUGAGAACUUCAGGAAACCGGGGCGAAUACCGGAUAGGAGCUCCUGCUGCACGGGGUGGGUUGGAAAGUUUCGGCGGUGGGGGCUGGACUCGCGGCUUAUCAGCUUGUUGGGGGGGUAGUUGCUUACCAAGGCUUUGACGGGUAGCCUGCCUGAGAGGGUGACCGGCGACCUUGGGCCUGCGAGACGGACCAGACGGCUACGGGCGGCAGUAGUGGGGAACAUUGCGGAAUGGCCGGACGUCUGAUGUAGAAAUCCUGCGAGCGGGAUGACCGCCUUUGGGUUGUAAACCGCUUUGGACUGUGAUGAAGCGUGCGUGACGGUAAUGGGUCAAGAAGCAACGGCUAACUACGUG
RNAcentral lists this ribosomal RNA (468 nucleotides) under uncultured bacterium. RNAcentral's name for it is "partial 16S ribosomal RNA". It matches the Rfam family "Bacterial small subunit ribosomal RNA", at positions 28 to 507 of the family's 1533-position model. The record is from RNAcentral.